This 490-nucleotide ribosomal RNA is filed under the name uncultured bacterium. RNAcentral's name for it is "partial 16S ribosomal RNA". It matches the Rfam family "Bacterial small subunit ribosomal RNA", at positions 30 to 507 of the family's 1533-position model. The record is from RNAcentral.
AUUGAACGCUGGCGGCAGGCCUAACACAUGCAAGUCGAACGGUAACAGAAAGCAGCUUGCUGCUUUGCUGACGAGUGGCGGACGGGUGAGUAAUGUCUGGGAAACUGCCUGAUGGAGGGGGAUAACUACUGGAAACGGUAUCUAAUACCGCAUAACGUCGCAAGACCAAAGAGGGGGACCUUCGGGCCUCUUGCCAUCGGAUGUGCCCAGAUGGGAUUAGCUAGUAGGUGGGGUAACGGCUCACCUAGGCGACGAUCCCUAGCUGGUCUGAGAGGAUGACCAGCCACACUGGAACUGAGACACGGUCCAGACUCCUACGGGAGGCAGCAGUGGGGACUAUUGCACAAUGGGCGCAAGCCUGAUGCAGCCAUGCCGCGUGUAUGAAGAAGGCCUUCGGGUUGUAAAGUACUUUCAGCGGGGAGGAAGGGAGUAAAGUUAAUACCUUUGCUCAUUGACGUUACCCGCAGAAGAAGCACCGGCUAACUCCGUG